UGGGGAAUAUUGGGCAAUGGGCGCAAGCCUGACCCAGCCAUGCCGCGUGAGUGAUGAAGGCCUUCGGGUCGUAAAGCUCUGUGGGGAGGGACGAACAGCCCGGGUGCUAAUACCAUCCGGGUUUGACGGUACUUCCUUAGCAAGCACCGGCUAACUCCGUGCCAGCAGCCGCGGUAAUACGGAGGGUGCAAACGUUGCUCGGAAUCAUUGGGCGUAAAGCGCACGUAGGCGGUCUUUUAAGUCGGAUGUGAAAGCCCCAGGCUCAACCUGGGAAGUGCAUUCGAAACUGGAAGGCUAGAGUACGGAAGAGGGUCUCGGAAUUCCCGGUGUAGAGGUGAAAUUCGUAGAUAUCGGGAGGAACACCAGUGGCGAAGGCGGAGACCUGGGCCGAUACUGACGCUGAGGUGCGAAAGCGUGGGGAGCAAACAGG
This 430-nucleotide ribosomal RNA is filed under the name uncultured bacterium. Its description in RNAcentral is "bacterial SSU rRNA". It matches the Rfam family "Bacterial small subunit ribosomal RNA", at positions 355 to 776 of the family's 1533-position model. The record is from RNAcentral.